Molecule: non-coding RNA, 72 nt
Organism: Danio rerio (zebrafish)
Lineage: Eukaryota; Metazoa; Chordata; Actinopteri; Cypriniformes; Danionidae
Source: Rfam
GGCUCAUUGGUCUAGGGGUAUGAUUCUCGCUUAGGGUGCAGGAGGUCCUGGGUUCAAAUCCCGGAUGAGCCC